UCAUUUUCAAGUUCAAAACAAGACUUGACCUUCUUGGUACUUUCUCCUUGAAACAAGGUCCUUAAAUCAAGGAAAGUAUGUGAAAAGUGGUUGUCAAGUCUUUUGAGUGAUGUGAUCAAGUCUUUCACCAACAAGUACUACAACUUGGUCUUUCACCUUUUGUGGAUCUAAUGUUCACUUUUUGUUUUAACAAAAGAUGAAAAGGGUGAAGAACAACAAGAACACAAUAACAACACCAAGAACAACAACAAUAUUCUCCAAGAACAACAAUAAAUUUCAACGCCCAACUCCACAAA
Molecule: long non-coding RNA, 296 nt
Filed under: Capsicum annuum
Lineage: Eukaryota; Viridiplantae; Streptophyta; Magnoliopsida; Solanales; Solanaceae
Description: long non-coding RNA (CANN_LNC001868)
Source: RNAcentral